This 468-nucleotide ribosomal RNA is filed under the name uncultured bacterium. RNAcentral describes it as "partial 16S ribosomal RNA". It matches the Rfam family "Bacterial small subunit ribosomal RNA", at positions 28 to 507 of the family's 1533-position model. The record is from RNAcentral.
GACGAACGCUGGCGGCGUGCUUAACACAUGCAAGUCGAACGGAAAGGCCCUGCUUUUGUGGGUUGCUCGAUUGGCGAACGGGGGAGUAACACGUGAGUAACCUGCCCUUGACUUUGGGAUAACUUCAGGAAACUGGGACUAAUACCGGAUAUGAUCUCCUGCUGCAUGUUGGGGGUUGGAAAGUUUCGGCUGUUGGGGAUGGUCUCGCUGCUUAUCAGCUUGUUUGUGGGGUAGUGGCUUACCAAGGCUUUGACGGGUAGCCGGCCUGGGAGGGUGACCGGCGACAUUGGGACUGAGAUACGGCGCAGACUCCUACGGGAGGCAGCAGUGGGGAAUAUUGCACAAUGGGCGGAAGCCUGAUGCAGCAACGCCGCGUGCGGGAUGACGGCCUUCGGGUUGUAAACCGCUUUCGCCUGUGACGAAGAGUGAGUGACGGUAAUGGGUAAAGAAGCACCGGCUAACUACGUG